RNAcentral lists this transfer RNA (87 nucleotides) under Spectribacter acetivorans. Its description in RNAcentral is "tRNA-Leu". It matches the Rfam family "tRNA". From Rfam's summary of the family: Transfer RNA (tRNA) molecules are approximately 80 nucleotides in length. Their secondary structure includes four short double-helical elements and three loops (D, anti-codon, and T loops). Further hydrogen bonds mediate the characteristic L-shaped molecular structure. tRNAs have two regions of fundamental functional importance: the anti-codon, which is responsible for specific mRNA codon recognition, and the 3' end, to which the tRNAs corresponding amino acid is attached (by aminoacyl-tRNA synthetases). tRNAs cope with the degeneracy of the genetic code in two manners: having more than one tRNA (with a specific anti-codon) for a particular amino acid; and 'wobble' base-pairing, i.e. permitting non-standard base-pairing at the 3rd anti-codon position. The record is from RNAcentral. Lineage: Bacteria; Pseudomonadati; Pseudomonadota; Gammaproteobacteria; Salinisphaerales; Salinisphaeraceae.
GCCCAGGUGGCGAAACCGGUAAACGCUGCGGACUUAAAAUCCGCUGGUAGCAAUACCUUGUGGGUUCGAGUCCCACCCUGGGCACCA